RNAcentral lists this transfer RNA (47 nucleotides) under Leymus pubescens. RNAcentral describes it as "partial tRNA-Phe". Lineage: Eukaryota; Viridiplantae; Streptophyta; Magnoliopsida; Poales; Poaceae. The record is from RNAcentral.
AGAAAAGGUCAGGAUAGCUCAGUUGGUAGAGCAGAGGACUGAAAUUC